Molecule: long non-coding RNA, 3089 nt
Organism: Magnolia sinica
Lineage: Eukaryota; Viridiplantae; Streptophyta; Magnoliopsida; Magnoliales; Magnoliaceae
Exons: 5
Source: RefSeq, a predicted model, not a curated record
AAAAUGGAAUGCGUCAGAGUUUGGUUUGGAAACGGCUCUAAGCCGUUUUUGUUCAGAAACGGUUAUGAACCGUACUCCAAUUGCUUGUUGUGUUCCAACUCUGUCAUUAUUUACACUGUUUUAUUGGUGUGUCCUAAUUGAGUGUUGGAUCUUCUUAGUUUUUAUCAUUUCAUUUUAUUUUUUUAUUUUAAAAUAGAUGAAUGGAAUGGAUUCAGUUAGAAACCUCUCAGUGGACCCCACAAGGCUCAAGAGGCACACUGCUCUAUAUCUGCCGCAACCUACCGAAUCAUUACCAUCCUUUUCUUACGCUAAAAUCCCCCAAACCCUCAUUUCACAUCUGGCCGUCUCCCUCUCCCUCUCCCUAUCCCCCUCUCAAUCUCCCUCUCUUGCAAUCUCCCUCUCCCGAUCUCAACCCUCUCUCUCAAUCUCCUUGUUGCUCUCCCUCCCUCUCCCUCAAUCUCCCUCUCCCUCGAUCUCCCUCUCCCUCUUCCGAUCUCUACUCUCUCUCUAGAUCCCCCUCUCACUCUCCCUCCCUCUCUCGAUCUCCCUCUCCCUUUUUUGGUGAGCUGUUGCUGAAUUGAUUAGCUAGCAUGCGUAUUUAUGGUGAAGAUGUAUGGCUUGGAUCCUGCAGAGUCCAGGGCAUGUAACAUAUGGUAAUUAUAUCUACCUCUAGUUGUUUAUAUCUUUGCUGGCUAUCUACCUCCACUUCAUGCUCACGGAUCCUUUAGAUACCUGUUUCAAUUCAGUAAUGGUGUAUGACAUUGUUUCUACCUCUAGUUGUUUAUAUCUCUGAUGGCUAUCUCUCCUAGCUCUGCUGACAUAUGGAGUGUUGGAUGUACUGUCUGCUGGUUCUCUCCUAUCUCUGUUGGAUGUACUAUUAUUGAGAUGGUAUAGGAAAACCUCCCUGGAGCCAGCAGUACAAAGAGAUUAACUUUUUCCAGGUUGCUACUCUAUUCUAUAUUGGGACAGCAAAGUCACAUCCACCCAUCCCUGAGCAUCUCUCAUUGGAGGCUAAGGAUUUUCUUUUGAAAUGUUUACAAGAGUAAAUACACACUUUUUUUUUUCUUUUCUUUUAGUUUUCAUUUUUUUUCUGCCCCGUGUUUUGGAUAGAGUGUUGUUUGAGCGUAUUCAUUGCUUUUGAUGGAAAAAUCAUUUACGUUGCUGUCAUUAACAACCCACACAUCUGAUUAUUUAUUUUUUAAAUACAAAAUCAAUCCAGUAAGGGCCUGUUUGGUAGACACCUAAAAUGAGACCAUCUCAUUUUCAUCAGUUUGCAAUUAUGUGUUAAGAGCCUUAGAGAUCUAAAUUUGGCAAGGAUUAAAAUAAUCUUGAUAACCAACAGUCAUGAUCUCUAAAGGCUGAAACUAACAACACAUUUUAGCAAUGAACCAAGCUUGAGGCCAUCUGCUUCCGAAUUACUACAGGUGAGAUUGCGAGCUUUAAAUAAUAAUAAUAAUAAUAAUAAAUCUUCCUUGUAGAGCUUUAAAGUGAUAAGUAGUGACUAAUUAUCCAAUCUCAAAUUCAGUCGAGUUGCAGCUUUCCUUUUUUAUUGUUGAAUAGCCAAAUCACAUAAUAAUUUAGAGUUUUUUGCCUAUUAAUUUUGUAACCUAGAUGCAGCAUCCCUUUGUCACUGGAGAAUAUAAGGAUCCUCAUCCAAUAUUCCGCUCGUCUUCUCUGUCCAUCCCGAAUUUGUAAUUGUGGUUUGAAAGAUGAAGAUGGAUUCUUAAUGGAUAAGCUUCACUAUGCUAGUGAAGGGCGAGGAAGUGGAGGCAAGGUAUAUCGAGCUUAUUUAUCGAAAUGACCAGUUAUGUUUAUGCCAGAUGUGUUAAACAUGUUUAUGAGGUUCUCGGUUUUUUGCAAUGAAGAUUAGUGGACCUACAUUGUUGUUUUCAAUAGAUGCAGAUUAUAUAUAUAGAAAAUAAGAAGAAGAAAUCGGUCUAGGUGUUAAUUUGACCAAACCCAUCAUAUCGAGUUGGCUAGUCUAGUUUUGCAUAACAAAGUGUAAAAGAUCAUUACACAGGGAAGAAGAUCAGAUUCACUUCGACCUUUCGGCGAAAUCCGAAAUGGGCCAUAGUACAGGAAACAGUGGUGAUUGACCAUUAAAAACUUCCUAUGGGCUACAAAAGCUACAAACAGUGUGGGAGCAACUAUUUAGAGUGUAGGCUCGGGGGUCCACAAUACUUACAUGAAUACAUGAUCAAAGCUGCUCAUUAGGUGCAAGCCACUAUGUGGCUUUCCUUGUGGAGAAUUUAGGUUUGUCCACUCAUCUGAUGACCACACAUUUACAUUAAAUGUCAACUGUCCAUUUCUUUUGCAUAUGUUUGGCUCGCCAGAUCUGUGACUGACCUAAUUCUUGGACCCAAGGCAUACGUUUUGGGUGAGGUUAGAAAAGUCCACACUUGUGUGGAGCCUUGCCAACCACAGACACCAAAAUAGCAUAAGGAUGUGAGGCAAGAGCAUUCCAUCAAAUGGACCACUGUGAAGAAACAAAUGGAUGUCUAGAAGAAAACUGUAUUAGCCAUCCAUUUCUUUUGUAUUUUGUCCUCGACCUGAGAAGCAACACUGCCUGAUUUUUGCACAAGAACAUCAAAUCAAUCUGGUUUAUCUAAUAAAAUUAUGAAAAGCUGGGAUCUCAUACACAUCUUCCAUAUUGGCAUGUGUGGUUACAUGUGGAUGGGCACAGCUCCACACACGUGCAGGCUUAGCAAACAUUUGUUUCAGGUUUACUUAAUAUGGUAUUGAUUUGUUUGGUCUUUGUAUAUGAUAUUUGCCUCUACAGCAUGUGUAACUCUUAACUGCAGUAGUGUAAUUUAUGUCAGUAAGGAACUCUUCAAGGAGCCAGUACGUCUAGAUUUGUUUGCAGCCAAUCCAUGCUUUGAAACCCAUAUCAACUGAGAAUAGUAAUUUCACAUCCCAAGCUUAAAUUUGGAUUGCGUUAGUAAUAUUUCUAUAAUUUUACUAGUUCCCAUUUUGUUAUAUAUGACCCAACCAAAUCUAAUUGAAAGUUCCUUGCCAUCCAAUCUUUGGCCAUCUUUUUCCUAGACAAUUGAUAUUUAUAUUCUUUUCUUAUCCGGCUUUUGUAGGACAUU